This is a long non-coding RNA of Bacillus rossius redtenbacheri, 439 nucleotides long. RefSeq lists it as uncharacterized. The transcript has 2 exons. The record is from RefSeq and is a predicted model, not a curated record. Lineage: Eukaryota; Metazoa; Arthropoda; Insecta; Phasmatodea; Bacillidae.
GAGGGGAGAGAGGUUGUCGUUACCUCCGCGCGAGCGCUGGUGUCGGCGCUGCCGACGCCCACAAGUGGCGUUAGUGACCACAGCCGUCACUAGAUGUCGUUAAAGUCCAGAAUCGUAACUGUGGCUGUCAAGCCUGAGAUGGCCUUGACUUCGGUUAACGUACCCGAGCGGUCGUCGCUCCUGGCUUCUCUUCUGAGAAGAAAGGGUCAGGUAGCGAAUCCCUCACUUGACUCGUUCCGGAUGUGGCUGGGGCGCGCUCCGAACGGGAGGGUCACUGAUCGGUGAGAACCGGCUGAAGGUAGCGUCGGUACGACGUCAACAUAUAUGAAUACUUUAUAAUAUAUGUAUUGAAAUAUUAUUUGAGUUUAGGAAAAUUGUUACUGUAGAGUGUAUAUGAUUGAUUGAUUAUUGAAAAAAAAUUCCUUCUGACAACCAUUAA